GCUGGAUGGUAGAAUGGCCUUUACUUUCUACUAUGAUAAACAGACAGUGAACGUAUUCAGUGAUAAAGGAUUACAAGACUUUGAGGUGAAGUUGCCCGUUUUCCCGUGUGAUAUAGUAUACAUAAGUGAGGACAAUACAUUAGCUGUUACAUCUGGUGGUUUAGUGAAGACGUGUAUUACCAUUAUAGACGUGGAGAGGAAACAAAUCAAGAAAAUAAUUUCAAUUGAUUCGUGUAUUUUUGGAAUAGCACUCAAAGAUAAUCGAUUGAUUUAUUCCGGUGGAGACAAAGGUAUACGAAUGAUCGAUCCGUUCGACGAGUCUACAAGUGACAUUGUUCGAGACAAAAUGCCUAAUGACUGUUACAUUGCGACGUUUAGGGACAAAAUAUAUCAUACAAACAUUGAAACAAACACGGUUACGUGUUAUAAUAUACAAGGUCGACUGCAAUGGACAUUCCAAAAUAUGCGCGUUCUAAAGCAUCCUAAGGGUAUUGAUGUAGAUAAUGAUGGUAACGUGUACGUGGCUGGGACCAAUUCACAGAACGUUUUAGUUAUCUCCCCUGACGGAAAACGCCACAGAAAGGUGUUGACAUUAAGUGAUGGUCUAAAGGAUCCCAUGGCAAUUCAUUUUAGUGGUUUAAAGAAUCAGUUGCUAGUCACGGACAUGGAUCACAAGGCUCAUUUGUUUAGUUUUAUUUGAAAAGGUUACAGUUACUACUCUCUCGUUGGAUCGUUCUUUGAAAUGUGUGAUAUAUAAUCAAUAGGUCGAUGUUCCCCAUUUCGUUUAUUUUGUCAGUUAUAUAUUAUGAACUGUUCGUUUGAAGAAAAAAGUGUGCAUUCAAAAAAAUAACUCAGCACAGCAAUUACCCAUUACACAGCCCCAUAUUUGUACAGAAUACACUUAAAUAUUUUAAAAUAAAAUACAUAUG
This 929-nucleotide long non-coding RNA is filed under the name Mytilus galloprovincialis (Mediterranean mussel). The record is from RNAcentral. Lineage: Eukaryota; Metazoa; Mollusca; Bivalvia; Mytilida; Mytilidae.